UUUAAUUGAAGAGUUUGAUCAUGGCUCAGAUUGAACGCUGGCGGCAGGCCUAACACAUGCAAGUCGAGCGGAAACGAAGAGGUGCUUGCACCUCUGGCGUCGAGCGGCGGACGGGUGAGUAAUGCUUGGGAAUAUGCCUUAUGGUGGGGGACAACAGUUGGAAACGACUGCUAAUACCGCAUGAUGUCUACGGACCAAAGUGGGGG
This 206-nucleotide ribosomal RNA is filed under the name Pseudoalteromonas shioyasakiensis. RNAcentral's name for it is "partial 16S ribosomal RNA". It matches the Rfam family "Bacterial small subunit ribosomal RNA", at positions 1 to 210 of the family's 1533-position model. The record is from RNAcentral. Lineage: Bacteria; Pseudomonadati; Pseudomonadota; Gammaproteobacteria; Alteromonadales; Pseudoalteromonadaceae.